AUUGAACGCUAGCGGGAUGCUUUACACAUGCAAGUCGAACGGCAGCGCGGACUUCGGUCUGGCGGCGAGUGGCGAACGGGUGAGUAAUGUAUCGGAACGUGCCCAGUAGCGGGGGAUAACUACGCGAAAGCGUAGCUAAUACCGCAUACGCCCUACGGGGGAAAGCAGGGGAUCGUAAGACCUUGCACUAUUGGAGCGGCCGAUAUCGGAUUAGCUAGUUGGUGAGGUAACGGCUCACCAAGGCGACGAUCCGUAGCUGGUUUGAGAGGACGACCAGCCACACUGGGACUGAGACACGGCCCAGACUCCUACGGGAGGCAGCAGUGGGGAAUUUUGGACAAUGGGGGCAACCCUGAUCCGGCCAUCCCGCGUGUGCGAUGAAGGCCUUCGGGUUGUAAAGCACUUUUGGCAGGAAAGAAACGUCGCGGGCUAAUACCCCGUGGAACUGACGGUACCUGCAGAAUAAGCACCGGCUAACUACGUG
Molecule: ribosomal RNA, 484 nt
Filed under: uncultured bacterium
Lineage: Bacteria
Description: partial 16S ribosomal RNA
Rfam family: Bacterial small subunit ribosomal RNA
Source: RNAcentral